RNA transcript from Oreochromis niloticus (Nile tilapia), 2105 nucleotides. RefSeq lists it as uncharacterized. The transcript is spliced from 3 exons. Lineage: Eukaryota; Metazoa; Chordata; Actinopteri; Cichliformes; Cichlidae. The record is from RefSeq and is a predicted model, not a curated record.
CACAUAAAUUAUGCCUCUUUACUCAAUAUAUAAUCGUGAUUUGUCUGAAUUUAAAAUCUUCUUUUAAUCAAAAAACAAUAUAAUUUUAAGUUCUGUCGAUGUAAAAUACAACUUGAUGACGUGUAAACAGCUCACAGUUCCCUUCUUCUACUCAAGCGGACAUAUUCAACAGCACGUGUUCAAGGUUUAUCAAGAGCUGUGUUCGUCGCGAACGGCACGACUUUCUGGUGUUAUACACUGUCCUGGCGUUGCAGAUCUAGGGGUUCCAGUUAAGACGUGGUCAGCCUUCUAAAGAAAGUGGGAAUCUCACCGAAAUAUUCAAUUACUUUGCUGUGUUUCUUGCCAGGACUAAGGCUCAAACCAUCAUCUUCUCCUGGUAUCGAAUACCAAGGGACCUUCUGAAGUAAGCUUUAACAAGAUGAGGAGGAGCUCAACGCAGACCUUGCAAUGCAAAUCAUGAAGAUUGCUAUCAUUGGUGAUGGGCCUGCAACCAUCAUCGUUGAGGGAUCCAAGAUCCUGGAGAGGAUUGAUGUUGCCAGAUCCUGUGCUUUGAUGAUGGGAGUAAUCUACGCUCUGAACCUUUCCUAUCCCAAGCAGCUGAAAUUUACCUUUGAGGUAUUUCAAAAGCUAUGCCUUGAGCUUGAUGGACAAAAAGCCAGCCCUAAAGUAAUGAAUCUUAAGUUUGGUAUUUUCUAGAGCAGACUUGAUAGACCAUUCGUGAGUUUCACAAAAACCUUAUUCCUGCAUUUCUGGCACUACUUCAUUGUGUUUUACUAAAUUUUAAAGCGCUGUUCUUAAGUCUUCUGAGUUAAUGUUUUGCCGUGUCUUAAAUGCUGUUAUUUGCACAUUUUUAAGGAAUGCGUUUAAUUUCUCCCAUGACCUGUGUUCUAAGGGUACUGGUGUGUUUUAAAGUUUGUGUAAUGCCCUCUUUAGCUGGCCUUAAUCUUGAGGGUGAAAAGUCAAAUAUAGAAGAGAAUCAAGAAUACUUUGUAAGAGUGCUGACAAAGUUGAAUGAAAGAAGCUUUGCUCAUUUUAUGUUUAAAUUAGUGCAUUUAAUGUAUAGCAGCCUGUCAUCUUUUGUUUUGAUUCACUGUCACAUGUAAAAAAAAAAAGAGGAUUCAAGUAGUAGGUUGUAUUACAAUUUUAAUACACAGUUCCUUAAGUUUCAGCGGGCAAUUUGUGUUCUAGGAAACUGAAGCCCACAAAUCUUGCACUUCGCACGCACGUUAAAGAAUUGUGAUGUUUGUUAUUGUAAUUAAAUGGGUCUAACUCAUUUGAAUACAUCUGUCUGAAUUUCUAUUCUUUCUGAGCACCAGGUACGAGUCCCUUAGCUGAUGUCCAGGUAUUUGGCAUCACAUCUGCCGCAUUCAAACAAAUACACACAACAUCCAUUUCUUUUUCUGAAGGUCAUGACACAAGAGCACACAUAGUGCAUGUUAAGAAUGACCUUCGUUUGGGGAAAAAAGUGAUCGACAAGUUUAUAAGGUCUUAGAACCUUGACUUCUUUGUGGGCAGGCACCACCAUGCAUGAGCCUGCCCACGCGGUAGUCAUGGUUAUAAGACACAGCCAAAUGAUCAAGGUUGUAUUUUGGAGUGACUUAGCCUGCUGGGAAACAGGUAAAUGCCCUUAUAGAAUCUCCUGUAGGACCAAAAAAUUACUACACUGUAACCAAAAUAUCAUAUUUGACCAACAUAAAUACUAUUUAUGCCGACAGUUAAGUUCAUUUUAAUUAUAAAUGUGUUUUAUUUUGAUCAAAAAGUUACUUCACCAUACAUAAAUAUAAUCUUGGAUCAACUUAAAUUCCUGUGUAUUUGUUGACAAUUAUUAAGUUCAUGUUACUCAGAAUGUGUUUUUUUUUUGUGGCCAAAAAGUAACUUCACUAUACAUAAAAUUCACGUUGGAUCAACUUAAAUUUUUGUGUUCUAGUCGAAAAUUAUUAAGUUAAUUUUACUUAGGAAUGUGUUUAAUUGUGGCCAAAAAAGCUACUUCACCAUACUCAAAAAUAUUGCUUUGAAUUAAUGUUAUUCUGCCAGAAGUUGGCUUAACUCAAAAAUUCUAGUGGAAAACGUUAACAUGUUUUUUUUAUUUGAACCAAUGUUUUAUU